AUGCACGCUGGCGGCGUGCCUCAUACCUGCCAGUCGAGCGAACGGACGAGAAGCUUGCUUCUCUGAUGUUAGCGGCGGACGGGUGAGUAACACGUGGAUAACCUACCUAUAAGACUGGGAUAACUUCGGGAAACCGGAGCUAAUACCGGAUAAUAUUUUGAACCGCAUGGUUCAAAAGUGAAAGACGGUCUUGCUGUCACUUAUAGAUGGAUCCGCGCUGCAUUAGCUAGUUGGUAAGGUAACGGCUUACCAAGGCAACGAUGCAUAGCCGACCUGAGAGGGUGAUCGGCCACACUGGAACUGAGACACGGUCCAGACUCCUACGGGAGGCAGCAGUAGGGAAUCUUCCGCAAUGGGCGAAAGCCUGACGGAGCAACGCCGCGUGAGUGAUGAAGGUCUUCGGAUCGUAAAACUCUGUUAUUAGGGAAGAACAUAUGUGUAAGUAACUGUGCACAUCUUGACGGUACCUAAUCAGAAAGCCACGGCUAACUACGUG
RNAcentral lists this ribosomal RNA (496 nucleotides) under uncultured bacterium. RNAcentral describes it as "partial 16S ribosomal RNA". It matches the Rfam family "Bacterial small subunit ribosomal RNA", at positions 29 to 507 of the family's 1533-position model. The record is from RNAcentral.